This 253-nucleotide ribosomal RNA is filed under the name uncultured bacterium. RNAcentral's name for it is "partial 16S ribosomal RNA". It matches the Rfam family "Bacterial small subunit ribosomal RNA", at positions 524 to 776 of the family's 1533-position model. The record is from RNAcentral.
UACGAAGGGGGCUAGCGUUGCUCGGAUUGACUGGGCGUAAAGGGCGCGUAGGCGGUUUGCAUAGUCAGACGUGAAAUUCCUGGGCUCAACCUGGGGACUGCGCUUGAGACGUGUGGGCUUGAGUGGGGAAGAGGGUCGUGGAAUUCCCAGUGUAGAGGUGAAAUUCGUAGAUAUUGGGAAGAACACCAGUGGCGAAGGCGGCUCACUGGUCCGGUACUGACGCUGAGGUGCGAAAGCGUGGGGAGCAAACAGG